This is a non-coding RNA of Vicugna pacos (alpaca), 10966 nucleotides long. NCBI's taxonomy places the organism in Eukaryota, Metazoa, Chordata, Mammalia, Artiodactyla, Camelidae. The record is from RefSeq and is a predicted model, not a curated record.
AGUAAGAAGGAGAAUAUAACUACAAAUAAAAAAGGGUGUUUUUUGUGUUAAGUUCUAGAGAAUGUCAUGUAUAAUCCAUUUUAUGCUGAAACUCUGAAAAUUUCAUUGAUAUUGAUGCCCUUUUUGGGUGAAAUAGGAAACCAAAUUAAAACAAGAAGAGGAAAAAAAUCUGAACUGAGCAAUAAUCAUGGAAGGAAAACAUGAAGCUGUCAAAGCAUAAAAGCUGCUGCCCCCAGGGAGCCAUUUCUUGAGCAAGUUUGUUCAGAUCUUAAAGAAAAAUUAUUUCUUUGCUAUAUAGAUUCCUUUUGAGCUUAUAAACAGAGAGAAAGCUUCCUUAUUAAUAUUAGACGGCUAACAUAAUCCUGAUUCCUGACUCUAAUAGAAGUAACACCCAGAGGGUAAAAACAUAACAUAUUGCAUGUUCACGUAUUAAUGUUAAUGCACAAGAGUCCUAAAUAAAAUAGAGAACCUAACUCAGCACCUUAUGUUCCAGAAAUUCCUUUAUUAUUAUUAUAAUUUCUAAUAAUUUCAUUAAUUACUUGAGCAUUUCUUAUAUGUCUGGUGGAAUCUAAGGCAAUGGGAUAGGAAAAAGGGAAAAAGCCGAAUCGAAAAAAACCAAAGAAAUUUCCUAGUGGCAAGUCUUCUCAAUGCCUUUUAUUUGUUCAUAUACAAGAAGGAUCAACUGUCUUCAGUCUUUCCAAAUUUAGUUGAUUAUAAAAUCUUUUUUAAUGCCAGAAAUAAUGUGAUUUCUAACUCAGUUUGAGAAACACUCGAUAAUGUCAACAGAUGAAAAGGAGGAAAGCAGGUAAUCAUUUUGAUGGAUGGUAAAACAGCGGUUGACAAAAUUCAAUGUUCAUUCUGUUAAAACACUUUGGAGGUACACUCCAAAGUGAGAGCCAACCUAAAAUUUCACAAUGAUGGAUUAGAGGCAUUCUUGCUUAAGUCAGAAAAAGAAAAACAAAUUAGCAUGCUUAUGUAGGAAUGCUUAAAUAUUCUCACUGGGGCACUGAUGCAAGAAAAGAAAUAACAGACACAAAUAUGGGGAAGGAAAAUAUACAAUGUUAAUUUAUAAUGAUCAGUUAUCAGAAAAAGAACUCGAAAGAGCCGAAGUAAAUGUUGAAAUCUUAAGAAUAUUCAAUAAGUUGUUCAGUUAGCAAAGACAAGAUCAAUCACAAUGAUGUACAGCAGAAAUUAACACAACAUUGUAAACUGACUAUACUUCAAUAAAAAUAUAUAUAACCAAGAAAUAAACCAUUAGGAAAUGGAAAAAAUUAUCUCAUUUUCAAUAACCACAAAAUAUAAGAAAUAAAUAGGAAAAAAGUAAAAGAAGGAUCCUGGACCUAUUUGAACAAAAUGCUUCAACUCCACUGAGGGCCAUAAAUGAAAAGUUGGACAGCCAGAGACACAACAUGAAUCUGACAAAAUAUACGUGAACAUAAUUCAACAGCAAACUAUUUGCUAAUAAAAAUAUUUUCCAUAUAUACUACAAAGGGUAAAUCUCCUUAAUACAAGACUUGAUAAGAAAAAAAUUAAUACAAUAAAUGGCAAAGCUUCAUUAACACAACUUGGAAGAUAAGAGAAAAUUAACCAAUUGACACACGAAAAUAUGCUUAACUUCAUUAUUCAGCAAAAGAAUGCAAACUGAUAAUAAUGAGUUACCAUGUUUUAUCUAUUAAACUGUCAACUAUUACAAAAUAUGAUGAUACUCAGUGGUUAGGGUGAUGUAGGGCACAGAUACAUAUGACUUCUGGGAAAAAAACUGGAACUGUUUUUCAGUGGGCAAUGUAACAUUAUAUACUGCAACAUCUUUAAAUACCUUGGAUGCCAUUGCUAAUGUUUUACUCUGAAAAUUUUUAAAGAUCUGUGAAAGGCUUAGCUAUGAAAUUUCUCUCAUGGUAUUUUAUUUAGAGUGAAAAUUUGGAGAAGCAUAAAUGUUCACAAUAGGAAAUUGGUUAAAAACACUUUUUAUACAGAAAUACUUUAUUCUGUCAUUAUUAAUUAUACUAUGCAUGAAAUUUUGCGAUCUAGAAAUACUCUCCUGAUGUAUUCAGAAGAAUAGACAGGUUAAGAAACAUUAAAAAGAGAUUGACAGCGUCUAAGAACAAGAUAGAGAGAUACACAGAGAAGAUUCAAAUGAAUAUAUGCACAGCUGUUAAAUGUAGCUAUGUGAAGGAAUUUGGGGUGUGUUUUAUUUUGUGUUUCAAUUAUCUGUAAUUUUUUUACAAUUAAUAUGCAGUAUUUAUAACAACAUCAAAAAGCAGUAAAAUGUAUCAUUUCAAUUGUGAAUAAUAUUACAGCAAAAUAUCAGUGACGGUUAUCUCAGGAUGAGAGGGCUGUGGAACCUUUCCAUUUAUGUUUUCAUUUGUAAACUUUUUUUGGGUUCCUUUUAAUGAACCGGUAUAACUUCUGCAAUUAAAAAAAAAGCCAAAUACUAUUUAAAAAAAAAAAAAGCAACACCUAGAUGCUCUCUGUUGCCAUUAGAGUCCAAAGUUCAUUUGAAAGUAUGUAAGUUUCUUCAUGAUCUGGCCCUUACUUCCCAGAAGACAUCUCUCUUACUAUCUCCUCCACCACAGUCCAAGGCGGGACAGAACUACUUUCAGUUCUCUAGAAAGACCAAAGCUCACUCUCUCGCUCUGGGCAUUUGCUCCUGACCCCAUGGACCUUCCCACUUCUCACAACUCCUUCUACUGGAACCUUCCCACCCCCUCACCCUUCACCACACUGCUUGGUGAGUCAGGUGCUCCCUGCAUACCUACAUCAUUGCAUUAAUCACAUACCAUUUUCUCUUUGCUUGUCUUUCUCACUCACUGGAUUCUAAAUUCCCUAGAGGGAAGCACUUAAUGAGCGAUCAACCAUUAUUGUUAUCAAAGGAGGUAAUGAAUGAGUAAGAGAAUUAAUGGAACCAGCCUCUGUGUAUCAGAUCCUGCUGCUGACACCUCAGUUACUUUAUCUCACUGAAUCCUAACCAAGAUUUAGGAGGUAGGUAUUAUUAUGCCGCCUUUCCAGAUAAGGAGACUAAGAAUCUAGAAAUUUGGUUUGCCCUCUGUAGCCCCUAGCAUAUAGUGAAUGCUAAUAAUUACUGAAUAACAGAGUAAAAGAGCACUCAUCGUCUGUGGCCAUUUCUGUAAAGUCAAAACUAAGUGAAGAAAUGUGCUUGCUAGUUACCUGGGUAAUUAAAACAAAAAUCACCUUGCUAUAAGGAUGAGGUUGAGAGUGGAAAUAGAAACAGGUUGUUUAUUUUACUUUUUUCUUUUUGUCCUGAAUUAUCUUAAAUGGCUACACAGAGUGCUGGAAUUCAUCUACGUUGAAACCCCUUGAGAAUUUUUAUAGGUUGAACCAGAACAGAAUAAUGAAAUGAACCCUCCUAGGCAGGAAGGCAGAAGCAGACAUGAAAGAUGAUUUCUCUGCGUUAUUUGGCCUUUAUGGAAAGAACCACGAUAAGCUUCUAGAAAAUACAUUAUUUAUGUGAUGCAAUAAGGUGAGCUUUCUUUCUUCUUUUCAAAUAAUAACUUAUUUUAUAUUAACCAUGGUAUGAAACAUUGCCACUAAAGUUGUUCCUCAGAACAAGUGAAUUGUAUUUGAUCUCAUACCCUGACCUUUCCAUCUAUUUCCAUAAUUCGCAUCUUUCAUCAGUGAAGCUUUAUUCGUGUCAAUAUUCCAUUUCUAGUUCAGCAUGGAUUCAAUGGAUUCAAGAAAUUUUUCUCUCUUGAAUCACACCCUUUGUUCCCUACAUUUAGUUUUCUUUGGUUUCCAAGUGAUCCUUGGUCAAUUCAUGCUUACCUCUGUAUUUCAUUCCCUUCUACAAAAAUAACACCCUUUAGUUGUGCAACAGUUGAGAAAAUAGAUGUUUGCAAGUAAUUUUUAUUUUGUUAAUAAAUAAUAUUUAUUUAUGCAAGAUUGUUAUUGGAGCACCAGGACAAACAAAUUCAAAAUUCAAAUAAGGAGAUUUUUAUUCAGGAUAUCAAUUUAGAGGAGAAAGUUAAUUAGGACUUGAUAUAAAAUUUACAAAUCUAAAUCACACAAAUAUGAAUGUUCUUCCCCAGUGACAUUUGGUAACAAUUUAGGCGCUGACUCAUAAAUGCAUACAGAGCAAAUGUUCAUUUUCUUCCUUCUCACCAUGGAAAGCCUCUUGUGUGCCAGGUGCUGUGUUAGACACAGACUCUUUCUGUUGGAGUUCGUGGUCUUGGGGCAAGACAGACGAAAUCACACUAAUGAGUGUAUAAUUACAAGCCAAGGAACAGCACUAGACCAGCAUUUCAUGGUGUCGGCUGUCUCCCUCCAGAUACUCCUCUCCCACCACCAGAGACCUUAGCAUUCUUCAUGUCCCUGCUCCUACCAUCUCACCCUCUGCAGGAGGGCUCCCAAUUCCCUUCCAGAUUCUUGUCACUCUCUCUGGACUUCUGUCACCUGUAUCAAGUCUGAGGUCAUCUUCAGCCACUUGGACAUUUCCCCACAGACCCAGCACAAUACAGGGCAUGUAACUGGUUUCCAAUAAAUAUUGAUUGCGUUGACUUUAAAGGCGAUGGUCUGUAACUUUAUUUGCAGCUAACCUUAAUAAUCUCUGGAAGUUUCUCCUGGAAGAUGGGAAAAUCACAUUUCCGUGGUCUAACACGAAAUUCAAAGGCAGAAAACCCAGCAUGGCUGUCUUGUAAGUGGCCCCUGUUACUCCUGGUGCCUGAUUAAGAACUUGCCUGCCCAACCAGGUUAUGUGUGUAUGUUAGACCCGACUGGGAGAAUGAAAUGAUGCUGGACAGAAAAAGUCCCACUGAUUUUGCUUCAUGCACCUCAGCUCAGCGGCUGGGCCUGGGUGCCAGCCGCACCCAUUGAAAUAGUAACCAGAGUCCUGAGUGUUUUGAGAGGAGCUGUGGACUUGAGAGGCAUCUGUUUCAAAGGCUCCAGUGGUUGCUCUGGGAGAUGCACCUGCUGAGAUGCCAUUUGAAAUUCCAGUUUCUUAACAAACGUCCUCUCACUGGCUGAAACCACAGCUCCAGCAGACUCCAGGGGGCUGUCUGCACUGCCCUCAGGUUCACGGCUAGCAGGUCUGCUCUGCAGGACUCUAGAAAUGCAGUGCCUGUGUCUUCCUUAAUCCCUUAAUUGGCUCUGAGGAGAUUCCAUCCUCCUGAAAAGGCCACAGGGAGAUAGGGAGCAGUGGUGAAAAAAAAAAAAGCAUCCUGACUAUUGAAAUGAUACUCAUUUAUUCCAUGAGCACUUAACACCAAAAUGAAAACAAACAUAAAAUUACAAAGUAGUUUAUGUCCUUUUCCUUAUUUAAUAUUGCCAACAUUGUUCUUCACAGCCGCAUGCUGCCUUCCUUCAAAAGGUCCCAAUGCACUUCUCAGAUGUCAUGUGGACACAGACAUCCCUGACAAAAGAGCAGAGACUGCUAAGUGGCGUAUCCUGCCCUUGCCUCAACAGCCUUCUCCAAGUUCAGCAUUUGAAUGUGAGGAUGGAAAAAAAUGGUAAAGAGAGGAGGAGAUCGAAGCAGCUGCACCAUCUCAUUAACCUUCUCUCGGCACCCCCAGAGGAGAUGGCAGGUCACCUGGGGAUCUUGGGAGCGUGCAGACCCCACAUUCUGCAUUCGUGACAGGCUCCCAGGUGGUGCCGGUGCUGCAGGUCCAGGAGCCACACCUUCUCUGCCUGUUCGGAAGCUCUGAGAUCUCUCCUUGCAAGAGCAUCUUCCCCAUCAGCCUGCUUCAGUUUCUGUUAGCAGAGCAUCACUGGCAGCCACUGGUGCCCAUAAAGACAGUGGGAGAUGAGCUGGGAUUCCAACGUCUGUGAACCAGGUCCCCAUUGGAGCUGAUGUGGCAGUUGGAGCCAGAACGUUGAAGUCAGUAAGACAGAGCCACGCCUCUUCAAGGUGCAGUGAGGCAGAGUCACUUCCGAGGGGAGGUAAAAAGUCUUCACAGGUAGGAGUAUCAGUCUACUCAUACUGUUCUUGAAAAGAUGCUCAGAAAAAGGUUGAUGAAGACAUCAGAACACACAGUUAGUUUAGAGCCAUUUAGCCAUUUUUUCUGUAGUCAUCUAGAAGGUCAUUAGAAUUGUCAACAGCUGAUGUCGCAUGCCAGUUUGUUUGCAGAACUCAAUUACCACACACAAAAGCCCUCUCGUCUCAGAUCAGUUUACUUGCCUGCCAACUUUCAGAAAAGAGAAACAGAUGUUUCUCAUGCUCUGACUUCAGUGGGCCUCCAACUGACCCCUCCAGCAGCAGAGACCUGGUCUCAGCCCAAUGGGGGCCUUUGAAGCAAAGUCCUAGCUCCCCUCUGGCAUCCGGUCCACCCUCCCCACCUGACCCCACCCCCUCGGCUCUGAGGCUCUCAGGUCCAGUCGGUGCUUAGAGGAACCAGGUCUUUCCUAAAUUUUUUCUUUUUUAAAAGACAGAGAAAUGAUAUUUUUCCCCUCGUUUCGAAAAUAACCAAGAGCUGCAGUGCUAACUCUCAAGGUGAACUUGGCUGAUGGAGGCAUAAUUGUGGACUCUGUGACCUGCCAGCUUGAGUGACAGGAUGUUUACAGUCAUUAGGAGACUCUGAGAAUUGAGACUCUGAGUUUUGAAGGCCUCUGUAGAUUUCUUGAUUUUUUUUGAGUGCUUCAAAGUCGAGUGGUUUUUUCUUAAGGGCAUCAUUUAGGAAUCAUCUAUCUUACAUUUCCUAAUCUGGGUAUUUAAACUUCUAUGUCAUUUAUCAAUACAGUAGAGGCACUAAUGAUUAAUAAUUAUAAGUGAGGAGCUGUAAAGGUUCAGAGUGUGCAGUCACUUAGAGAGGCAGCGCAGCCCAGGGAUCAGGGGCCCAGGCUCCAGAGCCAGCCUGCUGGGUGACCUUGGGCAAGUGACAACCUCUCUGAGCCUGUUUUGCCAUUUGUAAAAAGCACAUGAGAAAAGUACCUCUUCACCUGAUUUUUGUGAGGCCUAGAACAGUGGGGAAUAGGUGAGAGCUGAUGGUAUGAAUAAUUUUUCAGAAGCACAAAUUUGAAUCACACGUGCUGUGGGACUGACAUGCAAGAGCUCAUCCCCUGCCUUAAGAGACGGGCUGUGGGAGGUCAACAAGGAAAGAAUGAAUACAUUAAUAAUGAUGCUGGGACAGUUGGUGACCCCUGUGGGGAGAAAGUGAAAAUACAGCCCUACUUCUCUACUCUCAUAUACAAAAAUCAAUCGUAGACAGAAAUAAAUUAAGUACUUAAAUAUAAAAGGUAAAACAAUUUUUUUAGAGGAAAACAGAGAAUAUCAUUAUGGCCUUAGCAUAGACGAGGUUUUUUUUUAAGCUAAAAAUAGAUCAAAUUAUGUUUUAAAAGCUAUUAAUAAACUCAACUACCUUAAAAUGAAGCACUGCGGCUCAUUAAGAUACCACAGAAUAUUGAAAAGAGAUUUGUAACACAUUUGACUGACAAAAGAUUCAUACCUAGAAUAAAAGAUUUUAAAAGACGAUCUCUUCAAAUUCUUGAUAGUCAUCAAGCCCAUAAAUCAAUAAGAAAAAAAGUAAACAACCUAAUUUACAAAAUGAGCAAAAGACCUGAACAGGGUAUUUCACAGAAGAGGAAACACGGAAGUUAAUGAACAUACGAAAAUAUGCUCAAUGUCAUUAGUAGACAAGACAAUGCAAGUUAAAAUCACAAUGAAAUGCCAUUUCACACCCACCAAGUUGAUAAAAUACAAAGCAUGGCUGGACAGCAGUGAUCAGAUGCACUGCCAGUGGGAGGUGCAGGGGUAUAACCAUUUGUAACACAAUUAGGUGUUGCCAAGUAGAGUUGGAUACCUACAACCCUACAUCCCAGAGAGUCCACUCCUAAGGGUAGAUUCCAAACUUUGCUGCAUGUCACAGUCACCUGGCAUGCUUUUAGAAAUCCUGAUUCCCAGGCUGCCACCCAAAAUAAUUUAAUAAGAAUCUCUAGGGGUGGGAGUAAGGCAUCGGUAUUUUUUUUAAAAAUUCAGAUUAUUCCUAUGUGUCACCAAGCUCCCCAGCCAGUAGUACCCCCUGCCUGUGACCUUUAGCUAUUCCUCAGAUGGUGCUGAAGUGGAGGAUGCUCAGAUUUGAUGGGACUCCUGGAAGGCUGCAAGCACGGUGAGCAAAAUCCCACACAGGUUUCCCUUCCACGGGCACCACGUGCAGGAAAGGGGUCCUCUCCACUCUGGGUCUCUGCCUUUUGUGCCACAUAGAAAGCAAAGUCCUCCAGGAGCCCCACUGGUCCAAAGUGUAGCCAUGACCGUCUUUCCACACACCGGUUGGGUAGCUCUGCUCAAAUUGUGCAGGCUGAGGACGGGGCUGGUAGGGCUGAGGCUGGGCAGUUCUGGCGGGACUCCCAGAACCUGCAGCCUUAGUCAGGGGUCUCUAAAGUGGGGGCUUCCCACGGUUUGUAGCUGACAUUCCCUUUCGUGACACCCAUACAGCCGCAGAGUGACUGCUCUAACCAGACAGGCCUCCUCAGAAAAUAAGAGUUUCCUCAUUAUUUUGUAACAGUUGAUAUAAAAAAUUGCAAUUAAGUUUGAAAUCCAGUUGCAUUACCAAGGGAUUUUUCAACCUAACAUCUGUCAAUGAAAGGAAAGGAAGAGCUGUUUUAUUCUUUAAGUCUUCUUUUUGAAUUAUUACAUGGUUUUAAACAUUUUUAUUCCCUACCUUGAGAGUAGUGGCUUUUGUCCAUAGUGACUAUCAAGAAUUUAAAGAGAUCAUCAUUUAAAAUCUUGAUCAAAAUUGCAUGCAACCAUUGCAUGCAUAAAGCCUGAUUUUUUAGAAAUGUGUGUUCGAGGAAGAAAUCUCAAGUUUCUCUUUUUGAAAAAUGUGAAAAGAUUCUAUGUAGCAGUGUUAUACUUUUUCCUAAAGUAAUUAUGUAAUAUUAAAAAUCAUUUUCUUAAUAUAAUUAUGUAACAUUAAAAAACAGUUCUUUUUUCACCAAUACCUGUGGAGGUUCUCCCAAAUUCAGCUCACCCCAAAGCACUAAACAAAUACCAUCUUUUGCAAUGUGGGCCAUGACAGCUCAGGAAGCAUGGCUUUAAAGAGAAACUUUUGCAUGAAAAAGCAUGAAAGAAUGUAUUUUAUUGUGGCAUUCUUCUUAAUAGUAAAACAAACAGAAAAUCACCCAAAAGGUCACCAUCAACAGAAUGGAUAAACACUUGCCCCUUCAACGGAAUAGGACACGGUAGGGAAAAUCAGUGACCUACAGCAACACGGCACCAUGAGUGAAUCUCAAAAGCUUUACAUUAAGCAAGGGGAAAAAAGCAAGUCACAGAAGAAAAUGUACAAAGUUCAAAACUAGGCAAAACCAAACCCUAAAAAGGGGGUGGGGUGGGGGGAGAAGGGAUUAGAAAGAUUUAGAGUUACCAACUUGCAUAUGUAACAGCGAAACUAUUUUGCAAUCAUUGCAUUUUAUUUUGUCCUCAAAACCCACUUUUCACUGGCUGAGAGACUCUAGAACUUUGCAUUUCAAGGUAAACCUUUGCCUUCUGGCUUUUUGCUCAGGCUUUCCUUUGGGCAAACAUUUCACCCUGCUCCCCACCUGUCUGCUGUUUCUCCCCGCCUCCUCGGACGUGAGCUUACUUCCUGGGGCGCGGAGGUUUAAGUGCAGCCUGAGGGCCCCCAUCUUCUCCUCCAUGUAGGCCCAUCAGGUGCUGACAGCCACGACAGUGUUACUGGUCCUGCCAGAUCUUUGCUCACAGCCUUCUGACCCUACUGCAGCAAAUGGCUGAAACACUCGCCUGAGCUUCCCUGCCCUUUGCCAGUGAAUCCAGCUUGACCGACUAUCCCUGAAGAGUCAGAAUGGGCUCUUCCAUCAUAUUGAAUUCUUCCCCAUUCUCUAAAAACUGAAAAACCCUUUUUCUUUCAAAAUCUUGGCUCUGGCUCUAUGACCAGAAGUUUUCAAAAUAGUUGACUCUACGCAGAAACUUGGCUGAUCUGAGUCCGUCCUCUCCCGGAGCACUGGAUGACUCAGUGGGGGGAGAGCUGGGGCAACAAGCAAACCGAGGAAAGGAGGAACAUCUGUUGUUUUCUCGGAACCGAAUCUCACCACAGCAGAACCCACGGCACCACGAGAGCUUAGCAAACAGCUUUACAAGUUUAAAUAAUGCUUUAUUUACCUCAUCCUUUGGGAAAUCUACAGAGGGUUUUUUUUUUUCUUUCCAACAGAUGUUCACUACCUGAAACUCCCACUUUUUGUUUUUAAUGUAGCAAUUCUUGAUGGAAAUAUUUUUACCAGAUAUUUAUUCUAAAUUUAUUCCAUGUAUAAUCCAGAAGAUAGUGACUUGAUUUUCCAAAGGUUAUCUUCUCAAGAAUAUCAAUUAUUAUCCCAUUCAGUAGCUCUGGGGGUUGUCAUGGGUGAAGGAAAUGGCCAGGAUGACUUGACUUUUCACUACAGCCUCGCCUACCUGCUCCUCUUUCUUCCAUCAGCUGCUCUCAGGGCUGCCAGCCCUGUCAAUCAGAAGCGGUACCCAGCACCCAUUCAGUCCAUAGCAGGUAGACCUCGCUUCUCUAGAUGUGGUCCUGGGACCAGCAGCAUCAGCAUCACCAAGGAACUUUUCGAAAUGGAGAAUCUUGGGGCCCUUCCCAGAUACACUGAAUCAGAGUCUGCAUUUUAUCAAGAUCCCAAGGUGAUUCGUAGGCACAUUAUAAUUGGUGAAGUACUGCUCCAAAUUCAGCCCUGCCUUCAUUCCCAAGAUAUGUUAAUUCCAUCCAGGCUGAGACCUGAGCCACUCCUCCCCUCUGUGACCCACACAAUCCUGAUUUAGAUGACUGUGGACCAGCACUGGGUCAACAUUACUAGGUACAGAACGGUUUCCAGUAUAAGAUGACCUAGUACAAUUGUCCCUAACCCAGAGUCUGGCCUGAUGUUGGGACAGUAACUCGGGGAAGCAGCUGAGGGGAAAAAGAACACAGUGCAAAGAGCAGCCUGAGACACUUUUACGUACAGAAACCCCAUCAGCUCUAUUGCAAUGACCAGUCAUUGCACGCGUGGUCACACACACACACGCACACACACACACAAACAA